GACGAACGCUGGCGGCGCGCUUAACACAUGCAAGUCGAGCGAUGAAACUUUAACAGAACCCUUCGGGGCGAAGAUAAAGUGGAUUAGCGGCGGACGGGUGAGUAACACGUGAUUAACCUGCCUUUGACAUUGGGAUAGCCUCGGUAAACCGGGAUUAAUACCAAAUAAAAUCAUAAUGACACAUGUCAUAACGAUCAAAACUCCGGUGGUCUAAGAUGGACUUUCGUCACAUUAGCUAGUUGGUAGAGUAAAAGCCUACCAAGGCGACGCAGGGUAGCCGGCAGGGGAGGCGGCACGGCUAGAAUGGAACUGAGGACCAGUCCGAAAUCCUAGGCAAGGGAGGAGUGGAGAAUACAGCGCGAUGGAGGGAGCUCUGACGCAGCGACGCGGGGUAAACGAAGAAGGGUUUUGAGUAGUGCAGUUCUUUGAUAUGGAGAGAUAAUGACGGUACCAUAAGAAGAAGCACCGGCUAACUACGUG
Molecule: ribosomal RNA, 480 nt
Filed under: uncultured bacterium
Lineage: Bacteria
Description: partial 16S ribosomal RNA
Rfam family: Bacterial small subunit ribosomal RNA
Source: RNAcentral